AGGAUAAUAGUUAAUAAUAAUAUUUAAUUUGCAAUUAAAAGGCAUUGAUUUAUUCAAUUUAUCUUA
This 66-nucleotide transfer RNA is filed under the name Cryptocephalus schaefferi. RNAcentral describes it as "tRNA-Ala". The record is from RNAcentral. Lineage: Eukaryota; Metazoa; Arthropoda; Insecta; Coleoptera; Chrysomelidae.